UCGGACCGCGUCCCCAG
Molecule: ribosomal RNA, 17 nt
Filed under: Fargesia conferta
Lineage: Eukaryota; Viridiplantae; Streptophyta; Magnoliopsida; Poales; Poaceae
Also listed under: 1 other name
Description: partial 26S ribosomal RNA
Source: RNAcentral